Molecule: unclassified non-coding RNA, 499 nt
Filed under: soil metagenome
Description: partial internal transcribed spacer 1
Source: RNAcentral
CCGUAACGCUCGCUCGCUCGGACGGCUCGCCCGCCGACGCGACGCAGCAGUGCAAACGAGUGAGUCACAAACGCGGGAUUCGAACGGCCGCGGUUCAUCAAACGUCCGGUCCCGAAAGGACCGGACUGCGGUCGACAGAAGAAGAAGGGCGCGGCGUCCUCGACGCCGCGGUGGAAUCGAUCGGCGGGCUUUUACCAGUGUCUACACGCAGUGGGUACCUGUCCCGUUCGCCGCCUGUACGGCGGCGGCGGGGAGAGCAUAGGCGGUCGGCGAUCGUCGUCGGACAUCCGAUGUCCGGGGGCGUCGUACGCCGUCGUCUAUGCGAGGUUCAAAGAGCCGCGCCAACCGUUCGCUUCGUCCGCCGACGAGCGGCGGCCGCCCCGCGUCGUUUUUUUUCAUAUAUUUUCAAGACACCGAACGUGGUGAACGUUGCCAGUCUGGCCGUUGCCGCUGCGGCGGCUCGGUCGACCGUCUUCGCCGGAGAGGACGAACGUGGAAA